GGUGUUAAUAUAGCUCAGUUGGUAGAGUGCUUGCCUUGCAUGCACAAGGUCCUGGUUUCAGUCCCCAGCACCA
This 73-nucleotide transfer RNA is filed under the name Marmota monax (woodchuck). Its description in RNAcentral is "tRNA.Ala". The record is from RNAcentral. Lineage: Eukaryota; Metazoa; Chordata; Mammalia; Rodentia; Sciuridae.